RNAcentral lists this ribosomal RNA (497 nucleotides) under uncultured bacterium. Its description in RNAcentral is "partial 16S ribosomal RNA". It matches the Rfam family "Bacterial small subunit ribosomal RNA", at positions 28 to 507 of the family's 1533-position model. The record is from RNAcentral.
GAUGAACGCUGGCGGCGUGCCUAAUACAUGCAAGUCGAGCGAACAGACGAGGAGCUUGCUCCUCUGACGUUAGCGGCGGACGGGUGAGUAACACGUGGAUAACCUACCUAUAAGACUGGGAUAACUUCGGGAAACCGGAGCUAAUACCGGAUAAUAUAUUGAACCGCAUGGUUCAAUAGUGAAAGACGGUUUUGCUGUCACUUAUAGAUGGAUCCGCGCCUCAUUAGCUAGUUGGUAAGGUAACGGCUUACCAAGGCAACGAUGCGUAGCCGCCCUGAGAGGGUGAUCGGCCACACUGGAACUGAGACUCGGUCCACACUCCUACGGUGGGCAGCGGUAGGGAAUCUUCCGCAAUGGGCGAGAGCCUGACGGUGCAACGCCGCGUGAGUGAUGAAGGUCUUCGGAUCGUAAAACUCUGUUAUUAGGGAAGUACAAAUGUGUAAGUAACUAUGCACGUCUUGACGGUACCUAAUCAGAAAGCCACGGCUAACUACGUG